Molecule: long non-coding RNA, 460 nt
Organism: Microplitis mediator
Lineage: Eukaryota; Metazoa; Arthropoda; Insecta; Hymenoptera; Braconidae
Exons: 3
Source: RefSeq, a predicted model, not a curated record
GAAAUAAAAAUUGUGCAAUCACGGAAUAAUGAUAGACAACAGAAUGAAUGAAUAUAUAGCGGCUCAUCAUUCGACACUCCACUCAGUUUUCAGCCGCCUGUGAAGUUCUUGGAUUAUCAAUUAAUACGUCACAAGGAAUCAGAAUGUCAAAAAUAAUUUUAUUAUUAUCAAUUUUCGUAUUAAUUGGACUCUAUGCCAGCACAGUUGAAGCAUGUAGAGGAAAUUGGUGCCAUCCCCAACAAGGCUACAAGUGUAAUUGUCCAGGUUAUUCAUGUACUUCCUACUAUCGUCAGGGUACUUGCUUACCCCAUAAUGAAAUUGAUCAUCCCUACCGUUAAGAAAAAACAAAUAUUAAUUCUUUCCAGGAUAUUUAUUACGACGAAAUUCAGCUCUGCAUGAAUUUUGUAAUAUUUAUUCAAAAAUAUAUAAAUAAAAACUAAAAUAAUUAUUGUAACAACAA